RNAcentral lists this ribosomal RNA (248 nucleotides) under Shouchella clausii. Its description in RNAcentral is "partial 23S ribosomal RNA". It matches the Rfam family "Bacterial large subunit ribosomal RNA", at positions 1 to 246 of the family's 2925-position model. Lineage: Bacteria; Bacillati; Bacillota; Bacilli; Caryophanales; Bacillaceae. The record is from RNAcentral.
GGAUAAGUUAGAAAGGGCGCACGGUGAAUGCCUUGGCACUAGGAGCCGAUGAAGGACGCGACGAACCGCGAUAGGCUUCGGGGAGCUGUAAGUAAGCUUCGAUCCGGAGAUUUCCGAAUGGGGGAACCCACCAUCCGUAAUGGGAUGGUACUGGCAUCUGAACACAUAGGAUGUCGAGAGGCAGACCCGGGGAACUGAAACAUCUAAGUACCCGGAGGAAGAGAAAGCAAAUGCGAUUUCCUGAGUAG